Molecule: ribosomal RNA, 483 nt
Filed under: uncultured Verrucomicrobiota bacterium
Lineage: Bacteria; Pseudomonadati; Verrucomicrobiota
Description: bacterial SSU rRNA
Rfam family: Bacterial small subunit ribosomal RNA
Source: RNAcentral
UCGAGAAUUUUUCACAAUGGGGGCAACCCUGAUGGAGCGACGCCGCGUGGAGGAUGAAGGCCUUCGGGUUGUAAACUCCUGUCAUGCGGGAACAAGCAAGUGAUAGUACCGCAAGAGGAAGGGACGGCUAACUCUGUGCCAGCAGCCGCGGUAAUACAGAGGUCUCAAGCGUUGUUCGGAUUCAUUGGGCGUAAAGGGUGCGUAGGUGGUGACGCAAGUCUGGUGUGAAAUCUCGGAGCUCAACUCCGAAAUUGCACCGGAUACUGCGUGACUCGAGGACUGUAGAGGAGAUCGGAAUUCACGGUGUAGCAGUGAAAUGCGUAGAUAUCGUGAGGAAGACCAGUUGCGAAAGCGGAUCUCUGGGCAGUUCCUGACACUGAGGCACGAAGGCCAGGGGAGCAAACGGGAUUAGAUACCCCGGUAGUCCUGGCAGUAAAACGGUGCACGGUUUGGUGUGGGGCGGGUUCAGACCCCGUCCGUGCC